AACGAACGCUGGCGGCAGGCUUAACACAUGCAAGUCGAACGCACCGCAAGGUGAGUGGCGCACGGGUGAGUAACGCGUGGGAAUGUACCGUUUAGUACGGAAUAGCUCCGGGAAACUGGAAUUAAUACCGUAUACGCCCUUCGGGGGAAAGAUUUAUCGCUAAACGAUCAGCCCGCGUGAGAUUAGGUAGUUGGUGGGGUAAUGGCCUACCAAGCCUACGAUCUCUAGCUGGUCUGAGAGGAUGAUCAGCCACACUGGAACUGAGACACGGUCCAGACUCCUACGGGAGGCAGCAGUGGGGAAUAUUGGACAAUGGGGGAAACCCUGAUCCAGCCAUGCCGCGUGAAUGAUGAAGGCCUUAGGGUUGUAAAGUUCUUUUACCGAUGAAGAUAAUGACGGUAGUCGGAGAAAAAGCCCCGGCUAACUUCGUGCCAGCAGCCGCCGUAA
This 447-nucleotide ribosomal RNA is filed under the name uncultured bacterium. RNAcentral describes it as "partial 16S ribosomal RNA". It matches the Rfam family "Bacterial small subunit ribosomal RNA", at positions 29 to 523 of the family's 1533-position model. The record is from RNAcentral.